GUACUCACUUUGGCAACACAUAUAUUAGAAUUGAAACAACGGAGAUUAGCACGGUCUCUGAGCAAGGAUGGCAUACAAGAUUGUGAAGUAUUCCAUAUUGAA
Molecule: small nuclear RNA, 102 nt
Organism: Lontra canadensis (Northern American river otter)
Lineage: Eukaryota; Metazoa; Chordata; Mammalia; Carnivora; Mustelidae
Source: RefSeq, a predicted model, not a curated record